CUGGCAGGGGAAAGAUUCCUUGGAGAAACAGUUUACUAGUCUGUUGGGGGAUGGCAGCUACCAAAGAAGCUGGAGGUGGGUGAUCUGUGCUCCUGUGGACAUUUUUGGAUCAUCCUACAAGGAGCCCUCAGAAGCAGGAAGGGGAUAAGAGGUUUUCAAUACCCUUAGGUGGACUAAGGGACAAUAUUGGGAGCUCCAGCCAUUCUCUGGACCAUCUAGGACUCCUCAUCAUCCAGCCUCUCCUUGCCAAAAGACUCUAUAUGGGAAGAAAGCGAGACUCAGAAAGGCACAGCAACUUGCCCAUGGUACCCAAUGAGGGUCAGAGACAAGAGGAAGAAAAAGAAACAAGAAUUUAUUCAUCACCUGCUCUGUGCCAGUCAAAUCACAUCAGAAAGAGUAUCUUAAGAAGGCCAACUUAAGAAGAAAAACUGUAUAGUAUUCAGAGAAGAGCAACCAGAAUGAUGAAAUGAAGAGGCAUGUACUGGUAAAUAUUUAUCAACUGGCUCUCUGGGUGGGGAGGGGUAAUAA
Molecule: long non-coding RNA, 528 nt
Filed under: Monodelphis domestica (gray short-tailed opossum)
Lineage: Eukaryota; Metazoa; Chordata; Mammalia; Didelphimorphia; Didelphidae
Description: lncRNA (ENSMODG00000037351.1)
Source: RNAcentral